Ornithorhynchus anatinus (platypus) is the source of this 605-nucleotide long non-coding RNA. RefSeq lists it as uncharacterized. Lineage: Eukaryota; Metazoa; Chordata; Mammalia; Monotremata; Ornithorhynchidae. The record is from RefSeq and is a predicted model, not a curated record. The transcript has 2 exons.
AACCCAUGACCUCUGACUCCCAAGCCCGGGCUCUUUCCACUGAGCCACGCUGCUUCUCUAAUCAUCUGGAAUUGUGUGUGGAAGAAGACUUUCUGAAGCAGUGUCUACCAUAUCUGGAAUCACUGGAACAGAAACAUUUGAAUCUCUUUCUAAGCUUAGCAUAAUGGCAUCUGAUGACCCACGGUCAAAAAAACCAGACCGCUAAUGAUCAAGCACUGGGUCUCCUGGUGACCUGUGAGCCCGCUGCUGGCCAAGGAGACUACUCAUCGUAUUUUGCAACGUCCUCGGCCUGGUCUUUAAGGACGGAAGCCCGGCGGUCCGGAUAAGCCUUGGCUGCGCAGCUGACCUCCAGGGACCGAGUGGCCGGAAUUAACCGGAAAAAUGAAGAACGAAAGUACCGAAACGGCACUAGCAACCGUAGCACCUUUUGGCCUGCUGUGUGACCUUAGUCAAGUCACUUAAACUUCCUGGGCCUCGGUUUCUUCCUCUGUAACGUGGGGAUAAGAUUGAGGCCCAUGGGGGACAGGGAGCUCCAAUCGUAAUACUUCUCUCUAAUUCAGGGCUUAAUUUAUAGAAAGUGCUUAAUAAAUGUCAUAAUCUGAUCA